This 500-nucleotide ribosomal RNA is filed under the name uncultured bacterium. RNAcentral's name for it is "partial 16S ribosomal RNA". It matches the Rfam family "Bacterial small subunit ribosomal RNA", at positions 30 to 523 of the family's 1533-position model. The record is from RNAcentral.
AUUGAACGCUGGCGGAAUGCUUUACACAUGCAAGUCGAACGGCAGCACGGACUUCGGUCUGGUGGCGAGUGGCGAACGGGUGAGUAAUGUAUCGGAACGUGCCCAGUCGCGGGGGAUAACGUAGUGAAAAUUACGCUAAUACCGCAUACGAUCUACGGAUGAAAGCGGGGGAUCGCAAGACCUCGCGCGAUUGGAGCGGCCGAUAUCAGAUUAGGUAGUUGGUGGGGUAAAGGCCCACCAAGCCAACGAUCUGUAGCUGGUCUGAGAGGACGACCAGCCACACUGGAACUGAGACACGGUCCAGACUCCUACGGGAGGCAGCAGUGGGGAAUUUUGGACAAUGGGCGAAAGCCUGAUCCAGCCAUUCCGCGUGCAGGAUGAAGGCCCUCGGGUUGUAAACUGCUUUUGUACAGAACGAAAAGGUUUCUACUAAUACUAGGAGCUCAUGACGGUGCUGUAAGAAUAAGCACCGGCUAACUACGUGCCAGCCGCCGCAGUAA